GUCUUCUUGCUUCUCUCCUGGAGAAGGGAGAGUUGUGCAUCUUCUUAGCAUUACAUAUGGAAAAUUUACCAAGUGAAUCGCAAAAAUCUUAUUGCAAAACUGGAAUUGUCAUCUGUGAAGCAAGCAAGCCAAAAAGGAUUAUUGCAGUGGACUGCUCUACAGAGGAUCUUCAUGCUGUGCCCAAAGUACUGUUAAGGUUUCCUAAUGUUCUGAAAAGCUGUGAAGUAUACUUAUCUCGAAUGCCUUGCAACUAUUGUGCAAAAUUGCUCGUUCAAGCACAAGUCUCACAAGUGUACUACUGGCCUAAUUUUGAAAUAAAGGCGGACAAGGCCUUUAGUGAUGAGCUGGUAAAACAUACGAAUACCAUCUUUUCAGAAAGCUAUGUCAUUGCAGCAGUCUUCGUACCAGCAAUAAAUGAUCAAAGAAAGCAGCAGAUACUUGUUUCAAAUAAAAGAGCAUCUUCUGGUGGUGAAUGCUUUGCAAUUACAUCUAUAUUUGAUAACAAAUGUAGCUUAGAGCUUCUUAAAUUGGGACACCUGAAAGACGAACAACAGAAAAAGUAUAAAGAAAAUCUAACUAAAUAA
Molecule: long non-coding RNA, 584 nt
Filed under: Apteryx haastii (Great spotted kiwi)
Lineage: Eukaryota; Metazoa; Chordata; Aves; Apterygiformes; Apterygidae
Description: lncRNA (ENSAHAG00000005638.1)
Source: RNAcentral